RNAcentral lists this ribosomal RNA (258 nucleotides) under uncultured bacterium. Its description in RNAcentral is "partial 16S ribosomal RNA". It matches the Rfam family "Bacterial small subunit ribosomal RNA", at positions 99 to 353 of the family's 1533-position model. The record is from RNAcentral.
CGGACGGGUGAGUAACGCGUGAGGAACCUGCCUCAAAGAGGGGGACAACAGUUGGAAACGACUGCUAAUACCGCAUAAGCCCACGGCUCGGCAUCGAGCAGAGGGAAAAGGAGCAAUCCGCUUUGAGAUGGCCUCGCGUCCGAUUAGCUAGUUGGUGAGGUAAUGGCCCACCAAGGCGACGAUCGGUAGCCGGACUGAGAGGUUGAACGGCCACAUUGGGACUGAGACACGGCCCAGACUCCUACGGGAGGCAGCAUG